UACGGGGGGGGCAAGCGUUGUUCGGAAUUACUGGGCGUAAAGGGUUCGUAGGUGGCCCGCUAAGUCACACGUGAAAUCCCUCAGCUUAACUGGGGAACUGCGUGUGAGACUGGCGGGCUUGAGUGCAGGAGAGGAACGCGGAAUUCCAGGUGUAGCGGUGAAAUGCGUAGAUAUCUGGAGGAACACCGGUGGCGAAGGCGGCGUUCUGGACUGUAUCUGACACUGAGGCGCGAAAGCUAGGGGAGCGAACGGG
Molecule: ribosomal RNA, 253 nt
Filed under: uncultured bacterium
Lineage: Bacteria
Description: partial 16S ribosomal RNA
Rfam family: Bacterial small subunit ribosomal RNA
Source: RNAcentral